UUCUUUUUUUUUGGGUCAACCACAAUAUUUAUUAAUUAUAGGUAGCACUAAUUUUUUUUAGUGCUUAAAAAAAAACACAUCUUUUAUGUUACCUUUAAUACCAUGCUUUUAUAUUCACAGAAAUGACAUCACAAUGUUAAGACCAUUACUUUAAAUUUUUUGUUUUUUUUCUUAAACUUAAAAUGUAACUAUAUGAAAAACAUAGACUACUGAUGCAAUAUCGGAGAAGGCAAAGUUCCAGUAGCGCCAUCACUCAUCUGAUGGAAACAUUGCAUGUGCCAGUCUUAUGUCACUCAUUCGCUUUGUGCUUCUCAGUGUGACUUCUAUGACAAGAUAAUAGAGAAAAAGAGUUGAGUUUAGAAGUAGCUACCUGCAGCUGAUCCGGAUCAGUGCUAAUUAAAAACGAAUCAGCACC
Molecule: long non-coding RNA, 415 nt
Organism: Nicotiana attenuata
Lineage: Eukaryota; Viridiplantae; Streptophyta; Magnoliopsida; Solanales; Solanaceae
Exons: 3
Source: RefSeq, a predicted model, not a curated record